Non-coding RNA from Schistosoma margrebowiei, 46 nucleotides. The record is from Rfam. NCBI's taxonomy places the organism in Eukaryota, Metazoa, Platyhelminthes, Trematoda, Strigeidida, Schistosomatidae.
GCAUUGCUGAGGAGUCCCAUACCAGGGCGAAACAGCCGUCCAGUGC